AGUCAGAGGUGUGAGAUGGUUGCUGUGAGGACUGAGAAAGGUCAGUGCUUGGAGGAGCUGCUUGCAAAAAAAAACCAUCGAGGAGGCUGCCAUUCAAGCAGAUACUUUGAAGGACAACAAACAACAUUGGGAUUGAAGUGAUCAAGGAGAGCAGUGGUGUGGGGAAGGUGGCUCUGAAAGCAAGAAGUGACAGAGAAACCCCAUGAAACCCCAUGAACCAAAGUCCUUGCAAGACUCUUGAGCAUUGUGGACACAGAUUAUCAGCAGGAAUUCCUAGAAAGAGCCCUCAGUAAUGUCAUUCAGCCAGAUUUAAGGAGACUGCAUAGCCAGACAUGUGUCAGAUACCCACAGAGCUCAGUACAGAAGCUUAUUCUCCAAAUAUGACUGCUUUUUAAAUGCUAUGAACACAGGGGACUUGGAGCUUAGUGUAAUUUGAAGUUUCAGGAAGAUAUGAAUGGUUCUGAGACAAAUAUUUAAGGAGACUGUUCCUUUGGAAGCAAGCUGGCUUGCUGCUCACCUCUCCAUACUGUGAGCUCUCAGCAGUUACUGGUGGAGCAUUAAUUUUUUACUAUGAAAUGUAAUGUCUCAUCUUUCAUUAAUAAAUUUUCUCAGAAGAAGAGGUGAUGGCAUUUCACUGACAGGACAAACAAGGAAAGCCUUGUGGAAGCAGAAGAUUCUGCCUGUUCACCACCAAAGACACUGCAAGGGCAAUGGAGCGCUCAGAUCCCUGUAGAGGUGCAGUCAAAUUCGAAAGAUCUUUUCCUGAAGGCCUAAACCUUUUCAGAGAACAAAACCAAGCCAGCAACCUCUGCUUGUGAGGGUUCCUCUGGGAUACCCAGCUGUCCUUGCUUUGCACUGAAAUUUCCAGAAGGAAACAAAACAAACACAUCACCUAGUUUGAACUGAAAUUGUUGCCUAACUUUCAUCUCCAAAACUUUCUACUGUAAAGCCACAGAAAAGAGCUUUUAUGAAUCUGAAGACUUCUGUCCUCCAAGUUCUGCUCACCUCAUAGCUGAGUCUGAUCAGCCUGUAGGAUGAGAUGAGAACUACCCCUGGCCUGAUG
Long non-coding RNA from Zonotrichia leucophrys gambelii, 1063 nucleotides. RefSeq lists it as uncharacterized. The record is from RefSeq and is a predicted model, not a curated record. NCBI's taxonomy places the organism in Eukaryota, Metazoa, Chordata, Aves, Passeriformes, Passerellidae. The transcript has 3 exons.